Molecule: long non-coding RNA, 199 nt
Organism: Ipomoea triloba (trilobed morning glory)
Lineage: Eukaryota; Viridiplantae; Streptophyta; Magnoliopsida; Solanales; Convolvulaceae
Exons: 3
Source: RefSeq, a predicted model, not a curated record
UUUCAUUCUCUUUAAUUUGUUUUGGAAACAUUAUAUUGCCAUUCUAAUCAUGCUCUCCAAGGACACUGCCCGUACACUUAUUGGCAUAAUCGGGAAUGUUACAGCUCUGGUCUUGUUCUUGUCACCCUUGCCUACAAUUGUGAAGAUAUGGAAGAAAAAAUCAGUGGAGCAAUUCUCAGUGUGCACCCCAUCAGCUUCC